This 1460-nucleotide ribosomal RNA is filed under the name uncultured bacterium. RNAcentral describes it as "bacterial SSU rRNA". It matches the Rfam family "Bacterial small subunit ribosomal RNA". The record is from RNAcentral.
GCUCAGGAUGAACGCUAGCUACAGGCUUAACACAUGCAAGUCGAGGGGCAGCAUCAUCAAAGCUUGCUUUGAUGGAUGGCGACCGGCGCACGGGUGAGUAACACGUAUCCAACCUGCCGACAACACUGGGAUAGCCUUUCGAAAGAAAGAUUAAUACCGGAUGGCAUAGUUUUCCCGCAUGGGAUAAUUAUUAAAGAAUUUCGGUUGUCGAUGGGGAUGCGUUCCAUUAGGCAGUUGGCGGGGUAACGGCCCACCAAACCAACGAUGGAUAGGGGUUCUGAGAGGAAGGUCCCCCACAUUGGAACUGAGACACGGUCCAAACUCCUACGGGAGGCAGCAGUGAGGAAUAUUGGUCAAUGGACGAGAGUCUGAACCAGCCAAGUAGCGUGAAGGAUGACUGCCCUAUGGGUUGUAAACUUCUUUUAUACGGGAAUAAAGUUAGCCACGUGUGGCUUUUUGUAUGUACCGUAUGAAUAAGGAUCGGCUAACUCCGUGCCAGCAGCCGCGGUAAUACGGAGGAUCCGAGCGUUAUCCGGAUUUAUUGGGUUUAAAGGGAGCGUAGGCGGGUUGUUAAGUCAGUUGUGAAAGUUUGCGGCUCAACCGUAAAAUUGCAGUUGAUACUGGCGACCUUGAGUGCAACAGAGGUAGGCGGAAUUCGUGGUGUAGCGGUGAAAUGCUUAGAUAUCACGAAGAACUCCGAUUGCGAAGGCAGCUUACUGGAUUGUAACUGACGCUGAUGCUCGAAAGUGUGGGUAUCAAACAGGAUUAGAUACCCUGGUAGUCCACACAGUAAACGAUGAAUACUCGCUGUUGGCGAUAUACGGUCAGCGGCCAAGCGAAAGCAUUAAGUAUUCCACCUGGGGAGUACGCCGGCAACGGUGAAACUCAAAGGAAUUGACGGGGGCCCGCACAAGCGGAGGAACAUGUGGUUUAAUUCGAUGAUACGCGAGGAACCUUACCCGGGCUUAAAUUGCAACUGACUGAACCGGAAACGGUUCUUUCUUCGGACAGUUGUGAAGGUGCUGCAUGGUUGUCGUCAGCUCGUGCCGUGAGGUGUCGGCUUAAGUGCCAUAACGAGCGCAACCCUUAUCGAUAGUUACUAGCAGGUCAUGCUGAGGACUCUAUUGAGACUGCCGUCGUAAGAUGUGAGGAAGGUGGGGAUGACGUCAAAUCAGCACGGCCCUUACGUCCGGGGCUACACACGUGUUACAAUGGGGGGUACAGAAGGCAGCUACACGGCGACGUGGUGCUAAUCCCGAAAGCCUCUCUCAGUUCGGAUUGGAGUCUGCAACCCGACUCCAUGAAGCUGGAUUCGCUAGUAAUCGCGCAUCAGCCACGGCACGGUGAAUACGUUCCCGGGCCUUGUACACACCGCCCGUCAAGCCAUGAAAGCCGGGGGUACCUGAAGUACGUAACCGCGAGGAGCGUCCUAGGGUAAAACUGGUGAUUGGGGCUAAGUC